Molecule: long non-coding RNA, 733 nt
Organism: Tachysurus fulvidraco (yellow catfish)
Lineage: Eukaryota; Metazoa; Chordata; Actinopteri; Siluriformes; Bagridae
Exons: 4
Source: RefSeq, a predicted model, not a curated record
GCGACAUACAUAAAAAAUGUCGGUGUAACGCAUGGGCACUCGACCGAGGCUUCAGAGGUCACGGUGUGUGCAGGUAUUUGCUCCGAGUGCACAGCACAAUACCUGAUUUCAGUAAUUAGGCUUGUUAAGGAGCACAGCUCGUUAGUGAAAUCAGGAGGCUGAGUUCAGGGUUGGAGGAAGUGGAGUGUGGACGGCCCGGCUGUCAUCGGGUUCCUUCUGCAACAAAAGCAAGUUAGCGAGUUAGCUGAGAGGAAUGUCCCCUCAGAAACACUUCAUAAUCCCCUGUGUGAACAAGCUAAGGUCAACCAGAACCAAUUACUAUGUCGUAUACGGUAUACAGACACACCUGGAGCUUCUACUCUUAUCCAUUUCCAGGAAAGUUCUGAACAGCUAUACACUUUCCAGAAGCAGCACGAUGGCAUGAUGUCUUAAAGACCCGAAUGAUAUUUUAUAAGAAAACAUACAAAGGUUUAAGAAUAGAUCGAGCUCUAAUGAUGACCCCGACCCUGGAGGCUCCUUCUGGAAAUGAACGUCUGCAUACAGAAAACUUCACCGUGUCAAUUUGUGUUGUUACUAUGGAAACAACAAUGAACUACUGUAGAAAAAAAAAAUCGGACUUCUGGCCAAUCAGAUUUGAGAAUCCGCCACGUUGAAGCCCUACCAGGUUCGGGUAGGGGGGGGGCGUGGCUUGAGGUUUUUCUGAGGUUAUACUGAUUAAAAUAUUCAAUCAUUU